Molecule: ribosomal RNA, 253 nt
Filed under: uncultured bacterium
Lineage: Bacteria
Description: partial 16S ribosomal RNA
Rfam family: Bacterial small subunit ribosomal RNA
Source: RNAcentral
UACGUAGGGGGCAAGCGUUGUCCGGAUUUAUUGGGCGUAAAGAGCUCGUAGGCUGCUUGUUGCGUCGACUGUGAAAACCCGCGGCUUAACUGCGGGCUUGCAGUUGAUACGGGCAGGCUAGAGUUCGGUAGGGGAGACUGGAAUUCCUGGUGUAGCGGUGAAAUGCGCAGAUAUCAGGAGGAACACCGGUGGCGAAGGCGGGUCUCUGGGCCGAUACUGACGCUGAGGAGCGAAAGCGUGGGGAGCGAACAGG